Molecule: ribosomal RNA, 774 nt
Filed under: uncultured bacterium
Lineage: Bacteria
Description: bacterial SSU rRNA
Rfam family: Bacterial small subunit ribosomal RNA
Source: RNAcentral
GGACGUGCAGGUCUGACGUGAAAGCCCCGGGCCCAACCCGGGAGGUGCGUCGGAAACCGCAUGUCUUGAGGGCCAGAGAGGCCGGUGGAAUUCGCGGUGGAGCGGUGAAAUGCGUAGAUAUCGCGAGGAACACCCGUGGCGAAGGCGACCGGCUGGAUGGACCCUGACGCUGAGGCACGAGAGCGUGGGUAGCAAACGGGAUUAGAUACCCCGGUAGUCCACGCCCUAAACGAUGGGCAUUAGGUGUAGGCGAUACAGCUCGCCUGUGCCGAAGCUAACGCAUUAAAUGCCCCGCCUGGGAAUUACGGCCGCAAGGCUGAAACUCAAAGGAAUUGACGGGGGCCCGCACAAGCGGUGGAGCACGUGGUUUAAUUGGAUGCAAAGCCAAGAACCUUACCAGGCCUUGACAUGUCGGCCAGUAGGCCGUCUGAAAGGAUGGCCGAGUCCUGCUUUGCAGGACAACCGUCACAGGUGGUGCAUGGCUGUCGUCAGCUCGUGCCGUGAGGUGUUGGGUUAAGUCCCGCAACGAGCGAAACCCCUAUCCUUAGUUGCCAGCAUUGAGUUGGGGACUCUAAGGACACUGCCCGGGAGAACCGGGAGGAAGGUGGGGAUGACGUCAAGUCCCUAUGCCCCUUAUGGCCUGGGCGACACACGUGCUACAAUGGCCGGCACAGAGGGUAGCCACACCGCAAGGUGAAGCGAAUCCCUUAAAACCGGUCUCAGUUCGGAUUGGGGAUUGCAACUCAUCCCCAUGAAGGAAGAAUCGCUAGUAAU